AGACCCGAAACCCGGUGAUCUAGCCAUGGGCAGGUUGAAGGUUGGGUAACACUAACUGGAGGACCGAACCGACUAAUGUUGAAAAAUUAGCGGAUGACCUGUGGCUGGGGGUGAAAGGCCAAUCAAACCGGGAGAUAGCUGGUUCUCCCCGAAAGCUAUUUAGGUAGCGCCUCGUGAAUUCAUCUCCGGGGGUAGAGCACUGUUUCGGCUAGGGGGCCAUCCCGGCUUACCAACCCGAUGCAAACUGCGAAUACCGGAGAAUGUUAUCACGGGAGACACACGGCGGGUGCUAACGUCCGUCGUGAAGAGGGAAACAACCCAGACCGCCAGCUAAGGUCCCAAAGUCAUGGUUAAGUGGGAAACGAUGUGGGAAGGCCCAGACAGCCAGGAUGUUGGCUUAGAAGCAGCCAUCAUUUAAAGAAAGCGUAAUAGCUCACUGGUCGAGUCGGCCUGCGCGGAAGAUGUAACGGGGCUAAACCAUGCACCGAAGCUGCGGCAGCGAACGUAUCACUUAAAGCGAUUCAGCGGGUUACGAUUGACGGAGCGAAGCGACGUCAAAGCGUAUACAAAGUCGAGUCGGUUUAAGGAUACGUUCGUUGGGUAGGGGAGCGUUCUGUAAGCCUGUGAAGGUGUGUCGUGAGGCAUGCUGGAGGUAUCAGAAGUGCGAAUGCUGACAUAAGUAACGAUAAAGCGGGUGAAAAGCCCGCUCGCCGGAAGACCAAGGGUUCCUGUCCAACGUUAAUCGGGGCAGGGUGAGUCGACCCCUAAGGCGAGGCCGAAAGGCGUAGUCGAUGGGAAACGGGUUAAUAUUCCCGUACUUGGUGUUACUGCGAAGGGGGGACGGAGAAGGCUAUGUUGGCCGGGCGACGGUUGUCCCGGUUUAAGCGUGUAGGCUGGUUUUCCAGGCAAAUCCGGAAAAUCAAGGCUGAG
This 930-nucleotide ribosomal RNA is filed under the name Salmonella enterica. RNAcentral describes it as "partial 23S ribosomal RNA". It matches the Rfam family "Bacterial large subunit ribosomal RNA", at positions 711 to 1560 of the family's 2925-position model. Lineage: Bacteria; Pseudomonadati; Pseudomonadota; Gammaproteobacteria; Enterobacterales; Enterobacteriaceae. The record is from RNAcentral.